GCUCCUAGUACGAGAGGACCGGAGUGGACGCAUCACUGGUGUUCGGGUUGUCAUGCCAAUGGCACUGCCCGGUAGCUAAAUGCGGAAGAGAUAAGUGCUGAAAGCAUCUAAGCACGAAACUUGCCCCGAGAUGAGUUCUCCCUGAGACUUAGAGUCUCCUGAAGGAACGUUGAAGACGACGACGUUGAUAGGCCGGGUGUGUAAGCGCAGCGAUGCGUUGAGCUAACCGGUACUAAUGAACCGUGAGGCUUAACCUU
RNAcentral lists this ribosomal RNA (257 nucleotides) under Escherichia coli. RNAcentral describes it as "partial 23S ribosomal RNA". It matches the Rfam family "Bacterial large subunit ribosomal RNA", at positions 2674 to 2925 of the family's 2925-position model. Lineage: Bacteria; Pseudomonadati; Pseudomonadota; Gammaproteobacteria; Enterobacterales; Enterobacteriaceae. The record is from RNAcentral. RNAcentral also lists the same sequence under 4 other names.